GACGUAGGGGGCAAGCGUUGUCCGGAAUCAUUGGGCGUAAAGCGCUCGUAGGCGGACCUUUAAGUCGGUGAAGAAAGACCUGGGCUCAACUCAGGGAACGGCAUCGAUACUAUUGGUCUUGAGGUAAUUAGAGGAUGAUGGAAUUCCCGGUGUAGCGGUGAAAUGCGUAGAUAUCUGGAGGAACACCGGUGGCGAAGGCGGCAUCCUGGACCGACACUGACGCUGAGGAGCGAAAGCCAGGGGAGCAAACAGG
RNAcentral lists this ribosomal RNA (253 nucleotides) under uncultured bacterium. RNAcentral's name for it is "partial 16S ribosomal RNA". It matches the Rfam family "Bacterial small subunit ribosomal RNA", at positions 524 to 776 of the family's 1533-position model. The record is from RNAcentral.